GAUGAACGCUGGCGGCGUGCCUAAUACAUGCAAGUCGAGCGAACAGACGAGGAGCUUGCUCCUCUGACGUUAGCGGCGGGCGGGUGAGUAACACGUGGAUAACCUACCUAUAAGACUGGGAUAACUUCGGGAAACCGGAGCUAAUACCGGAUAAUAUAUUGAACCGCAUGGUUCAAUAGUGAAAGACGGUUUUGCUGUCACUUAUAGAUGGAUCCGCGCCGCAUUAGCUAGUUGGUAAGGUAACGGCUUACCAAGGCAACGAUGCGUAGCCGACCUGAGAGGGUGAUAGGCCACACUGGAACUGGGCCACGGUCCAGACUCCUACGGGAGGCCGCAGUAGGCAAUCUUCCGCAGUGGGCGAAAGCCUGACGGAGCAACGCCGCGUGAGUGAUGAAGGUCUUCGGAUCGUAAAACUCUGUUAUUAGUGAAGAACAAAUGUGUAAGUAACUAUGCACGUCUUGACGGUACCUAAUCAGAAAGCCACGGCUAACUACGUG
RNAcentral lists this ribosomal RNA (497 nucleotides) under uncultured bacterium. RNAcentral's name for it is "partial 16S ribosomal RNA". It matches the Rfam family "Bacterial small subunit ribosomal RNA", at positions 28 to 507 of the family's 1533-position model. The record is from RNAcentral.